RNAcentral lists this ribosomal RNA (283 nucleotides) under uncultured bacterium. RNAcentral describes it as "partial 16S ribosomal RNA". It matches the Rfam family "Bacterial small subunit ribosomal RNA", at positions 335 to 614 of the family's 1533-position model. The record is from RNAcentral.
ACUCCUACGGGAGGCAGCAGUGGGGAAUAUUGCACAAUGGGGGAAACCCUGAUGCAGCCAUGCCGCGUGUGUGAAGAAGGCCUUCGGGUUGUAAAGCACUUUCAGCGAGGAGGAAGUCAGUAGCUAUAUCUGCUUGACUGUGACGUUACUCGCAGAAGAAGCACCGGCUAACUCCGUGCCAGCAGCCGCGGUAAUACGGAGGGUGCAAGCGUUAAUCGGAAUUACUGGGCGUAAAGCGCACGCAGGCGGUUGGAUAAGUUAGAUGUGAAAGCCCGGCUCAGCU